AACGAACGCUGGCGGCAUGCCUAACACAUGCAAGUCGAACGAGACCUUCGGGUCUAGUGGCGCACGGGUGCGUAACGCGUGGGAACCUGCCCUUAGGUACGGAAUAACUCCCCGAAAGGGGUGCUAAUACCGGAUAAUGUCUUCGGACCAAAGAUUUAUCGCCUUCGGAUGGGCCCGCGUUGGAUUAGCUAGUUGGUAGGGUAAAAGCCUACCAAGGCGACGAUCCAUAGCUGGUCUGAGAGGAUGAUCAGCCACACUGGGACUGAGACACGGCCCAGACUCCUACGGGAGGCAGCAGUGGGGAAUAUUGGACAAUGGGCGAAAGCCUGAUCCAGCAAUGCCGCGUGAGUGAUGAAGGCCUUAGGGUUGUAAAGCUCUUUUACCCGGGAUGAUAAUGACAGUACCGGGAGAAUAAGCUCCGGCUAACUCCGUG
This 433-nucleotide ribosomal RNA is filed under the name uncultured bacterium. RNAcentral describes it as "partial 16S ribosomal RNA". It matches the Rfam family "Bacterial small subunit ribosomal RNA", at positions 29 to 507 of the family's 1533-position model. The record is from RNAcentral.